CAUUACCGAGUUAUACAACUCAUCAACCCUGUGAACAUACCUAAAACGUUGCUUCGGCGGGAACAGACGGCCCUGUAACAACGGGCCGCCCCCGCCAGAGGACCCCUAACUCUGUUUUUAUAAUGUUUUUCUGAGUAAACAAGCAAAUAAAUUAAAACUUUCAACAACGGAUCUCUUGGCUCUGGCAUCGAUGAAGAACGCAGCGAAAUGCGAUAAGUAAUGUGAAUUGCAGAAUUCAGUGAAUCAUCGAAUCUUUGAACGCACAUUGCGCCCGCCAGUAUUCUGGCGGGCAUGCCUGUUCGAGCGUCAUUACAACCCUCAGGCCCCCGGGCCUGGCGUUGGGGAUCGGCAGAAGCCCCCUGUGGGCACACGCCGUCCCUCAAAUACAGUGGCGGUCCCGCCGCAGCUUCCAUUGCGUAGUAGCUAACACCUCGCAACUGGAGAGCGGCGCGGCCAUGCCGUAAAACACCCAACUUCUGAAUGUUGACCUCGAAUCAGGUAGGAAUACCCGCUGAACUUAAGCAUAUCAAA
This 531-nucleotide ribosomal RNA is filed under the name Fusarium sp. FL-2015c. RNAcentral's name for it is "eukaryotic LSU rRNA". The stretch from base 156 to 309 matches the Rfam family "5.8S ribosomal RNA". The record is from RNAcentral. Lineage: Eukaryota; Fungi; Ascomycota; Sordariomycetes; Hypocreales; Nectriaceae.